GGCGCAGCAAGUUCUCCAGAUUGGACGAUGGCAUCUUUUGGUGGGGUUAAUGGCUUGCCAUAGAAAAAGGUGUUUUCAUGAUCUCUUCGUAAAGGAUUCAAUUAAAUACGUGAAAUUCAUGUAUAAAAUUUUGAGGUGGGGUUAAUGGCUUGCCAUAGAAAAGGUGUUUUAUGUUCUCUCUGCAAACCAUUGAAUUAAAUACGUGAUGCUAUCAAAUUCAUGUAUAAAAUUUUGAGGUGGGGUUAAUGGCUUGCCAUAGAAAAGGUGUUUUCAUGUUCUCCUUGUAAAGGAUUCAAUUAAAUAUGUGAUGCUAUGAAAUUCAUGUAUAAAAUUUUGAGGUGGGGUUAAUGGCUUGCCAUAGAAAAAGGUGUUUUAUGUUCUCUCUGCAAACCAUUGAUAUAAAUACGUGAUGCUAUGAAGUUCAUGUAUAAAAUUUUGAGGUGGGGUUAAUGGCUUGCCAUAGAAAAAGGUGUUUUCAUGUUCUCUUCGUAAAGGAUUCAAUUAAAUACGUGAAAUUCAUGUAUAAAAUUUUGAGGUGUUUUAUGUUCUCUCUGCAAACCAUUGAUAUAAAUACGUGAUGCUAUGAAGUUCAUGUAUAAAAUUUUGAGGUUGGGUUAAUGGCUUGCCAUAGAAAAAGGUGUUUUAUGUUCUCUUCGCAACCAUUGAAUUAAAUACGUGAUGCUAUGAAAUUCAUGUAUAAAAUUUUGAGGUGGGGUUAAUGGCUUGCCAUAGAAAAGGUGUUUUCAUGUUCUCCUUGUAAAGGAUUCAAUUAAAUACGUGAUGCUAUGAAAUUCAUGUAUAAAAUUUUGAGGUGUUUUAUGUUCUCUCUGCAAACCAUUCAAUUAAAUACGUGAUGCUAUCAAAUUCAUGUAUAACAUUUUGAGGUGGGGUUAAUGGCUUGCCAUAGAAAAAGGU
Dendronephthya gigantea is the source of this 915-nucleotide long non-coding RNA. RefSeq lists it as uncharacterized. The record is from RefSeq and is a predicted model, not a curated record. Lineage: Eukaryota; Metazoa; Cnidaria; Anthozoa; Malacalcyonacea; Nephtheidae. The transcript has 18 exons.